CUCGUAGGCGGCUCAGCAAGUCGGCCGUGAAAGCCCAGAGCUCAACUCUGGGAUGCCGGUCGAUACUGCUGUGGCUAGGGUCCGGUAGAGGAGAGUGGAAUUCCCGGUGUAGCGGUGAAAUGCGCAGAUAUCGGGAGGAACACCAGUAGCGAAGGCGGCUCUCUGGGCCGGUACCGACGCUGAGGAGCGAAAGCUAGGGGAGCAAACA
This 208-nucleotide ribosomal RNA is filed under the name uncultured bacterium. RNAcentral describes it as "partial 16S ribosomal RNA". It matches the Rfam family "Bacterial small subunit ribosomal RNA", at positions 568 to 774 of the family's 1533-position model. The record is from RNAcentral.